This 209-nucleotide long non-coding RNA is filed under the name Elaeis guineensis (African oil palm). RNAcentral's name for it is "long non-coding RNA (EGUI_LNC017514)". Lineage: Eukaryota; Viridiplantae; Streptophyta; Magnoliopsida; Arecales; Arecaceae. The record is from RNAcentral.
AAGAUUUAUCUAGGUUUCAGGCCAUGCUUUCCCAAAAGCAUAUAAACAGUAUGGUACAACUCAGGUACUGGAAGGAUAUAAACAGUAUGGUACAUUUUGCCUCCACAUUGGAACUAGUAUGAACUUUUCUGACUCCUCUAAAUUACCUUAGAAAGUUCAUGAAGAGAAGGUGUCGCCUCCUUAGUUUCCUCUUUAUUCAACUCCAUCCA